This 501-nucleotide ribosomal RNA is filed under the name uncultured bacterium. RNAcentral's name for it is "partial 16S ribosomal RNA". It matches the Rfam family "Bacterial small subunit ribosomal RNA", at positions 30 to 523 of the family's 1533-position model. The record is from RNAcentral.
AUUGAACGCUGGCGGCAGGCUUAACACAUGCAAGUCGAGCGGAGAUGAGGUGCUUGCACCUUAUCUUAGCGGCGGACGGGUGAGUAAUGCUUAGGAAUCUGCCUAUUAGUGGGGGACAACAUUCCGAAAGGAAUGCUAAUACCGCAUACGUCCUACGGGAGAAAGCAGGGGAUCUUCGGACCUUGCGCUCAUAGAUGAGCCUAAGUCGGAUUAGCUAGUUGGUGGGGUAAAGGCCUACCAAGGCGACGAUCUGUAGCGGGUCUGAGAGGAUGAUCCGCCACACUGGGACUGAGACACGGCCCAGACUCCUACGGGAGGCAGCAGUGGGGAAUAUUGGACAAUGGGGGGAACCCUGAUCCAGCCAUGCCGCGUGUGUGAAGAAGGCCUUAUGGUUGUAAAGCACUUUAAGCGAGGAGGAGGCUACUGAGACUAAUACUCUUGGGUAGUGGACGUUACUCGCAGAAUAAGCACCGGCUAACUCUGUGCCAGCCGCCGCAGUAA